RNA transcript from Pan troglodytes (chimpanzee), 3058 nucleotides. RefSeq lists it as uncharacterized. NCBI's taxonomy places the organism in Eukaryota, Metazoa, Chordata, Mammalia, Primates, Hominidae. The transcript is spliced from 6 exons. The record is from RefSeq and is a predicted model, not a curated record.
GAGUUGUAAUCUGGCGGGGCGCCACUCAGCCGGCGCAGGCCUUCGCAAGAUGGCGGCUGGAGGCAAGGGCAGAGGCCUUCAGAGCGUUUUCUUUUUCCCUUUCCUCCCUUCCUGCAAACAAUUGAGGAAACUGAGGCACUGGAAGAUGAAGGCUACAGAGGUAGAAAGUGAUGGAGACAGCGCCAGCCAGCCUCUCCCUCUUGGACUUUUCUAGGGGACAAUCAGGCACCAGUCUCUGCACUUCCUGAACUCCAGGGAACACAGGGUCUCACUCUGUUGCCCAGGCUGCAGUGCAAUGGCAUGACCACGGCUCACUGCAGCCUUGGACUCCUGGACUCAAGCAAUUCUUCUACCUCAGCCUCUUGAAUAGCUGGGACCACAGGAGAUGCCAUUCCAAGAAAACCAUGGAAGCAGAAAAGAGGAAAGCAGAAACACAGAUGAAGCAAGAGGCUAUGUCCUCUGUGCAUGGAGACAGCAGAUCUAUUAGUAGACAGGAUGAAGAGAAAAGGGUGCAGCUCCUGACUUCAUCACUGCAAAUGGAGUCCCAGCCAUCACCCCAUGCUUCAAGCAGCAGAAAGGAGGAGACGAGGAAGAUGAAAAGUGGAAAAGGGUGUACCCUAUUCAUCUUUUAUGGAAGUGGCCUUAAACAAGGCAGUCCCCUCCAUGAGAGGCCUGGCUGUUAAAGAGAAUCCUAUAUUCAUCUGCAGUGGAAUGAAAAUGAAAAUAUCCAUCUUAGAGUGUGAUUGCAGUAUAUAGGUCUGGCAUGAAAUGAAUUAGCAGGUAAUCAAGAUUUUAAAAAUAACUAGUAGUAAGUAUAUUAUUGUUAAACUUACAUUAAUGUAUUAAUGAGAAAUUAUAACUCAUUGUUGUGAAGUUUAAAACAGGUUGAGAGUCACCAUCGAAUUGCCAUGGAUGUGCUCUGUUGGGUGCUAGUUGGGUGAUAUGACAGGUGGGUUAGCAAGAUCAAAAGUACAAGGUCACACCUGGCAAAUGUGACUGUUAGUAACUCCCUGUUCUUAGUCUUAUUUAGUCCUUUAAAGGACUCUAAAAUGUCAUUCUUGUGUGAAUUUCUUUUAUAGACAAAUAAUAAUUGCUAAGAUCUACUGAGGGCUAAAUCCAGGUUGGGCACAAGGCUAAGCAUGUUGUCUCAUUGAAUUCUCAAAGUCUUAUGGGCUUAGCAUAGUGAGCCUGUGGAAGACCAGAAUAUGUCACUUCAAAAUAUGAAGAAUAGUUGCACUGAAGACAAGAAGAAGCAGAUGCAGGAAUGCCUUCUGCUUUCCCUUUACUUGCCUAGAAGUAGGACUUAGAUUUACAAAGACAAAAGGUAUUUUGCCUUCCUCUCUACCAGAAAGAACAAAGCUUAACCACUGAAGACAGCUUUAGCCCCUCAUCAGCCUAAAGAUGGCACCAGAAUAAUCUAUUUCAACACGCUUUAUUAACUAACAUUUAUCUGCCUGUUAUUUGCCUUCCCCCAAGUUGUUGCCCCUAGAGACUCGAAGUCCUUUUCCUUUGUCUUGUCCCUUCUCUAAAACUUUACUGUUCUUUGCUGAAGAUGCUAUAUAAGUUGGAAUUCAAAACCAACACCUCUUUGAGAACUACUCAUUUUCUGGUUUCUCCUAUGUCUAUAUGAAAUAUACCAGUUAACUGGUUUUCCUCUUGCUGAUCUGUCUUUGGUAUUAUGGCUCCAUUCAAACUAAGAACUCAUGGGGGUCAUUAUUUUUCUCCUACAGUCUGUUCAUGUUCCAUUCAUGGAAUUGAGGGUUAGAGAGAGGAAGUCAGUUUUUUAAGAUCACACAACUAGUAGGACAUAGAGAUCAAAACCAAAUUUUCAUGCCUUUAGCAUGAAUAUGACACUAUAUGGCCCCUAAGGAUCCUUGUCAUUGUUCUCAAUAAAGGUUAUACCUGUGUGGGUCCAAGGACACCCCUCAAUACUGGUGUUCCCAAAUGUGAAUGUGAGCUUAACUUUGUAAGGUUUAGCCUCUCCCGAGCAUUGGAUGCUCUGAGCCCCACAGGCAGGUUCUUGCUGCAGAUACCUAGUUCAACAAUGGCUUUUACACUUUGCCCACUAGCUCCAGUUUCACUUUUGAGUGGCUUAAAACACUCUUGUACUGCUGUUAUCUACUUCGUAUACAUUGUUUCUUUCUAGCUUGUCAAUUCUGUCUAGCAUAUUCUAUGCAUUUAACACAAUUUCCCCCUAAUACCUCAACCUGAAUUUUUCGAAGGACAUUUUGGAGGUGAGAAUCUCUUCAAUGUAUUUAUCUGUAUGGACAAUUCUUUAAAAUCUCCUCUUUAUUUUUCAAGGUCUUUUUCUUCCCCUUAGCAAAUCACUGAUUCCUUAGCUGAUGUCAUUUCUUCACUAUAUAUAAAACCAGCCCACCCGCCCCACAGAAAAACCAUGAAAAGGUGACUAGCAAACAAAUGUAAUAUAAAACUAGUAAAUAAACAUGCAAAAAUAUUCAAUCUGGCUUGUAAUUAGAUAAAUGCUAGUUUUAAAAAUAUAGGGAGAUACUUUACUUGCCUAUUGUAUCAAUAAAAAUUAUUUAUAAUUGAUAAUAUCAAAUAUUUACAAAAUUAUGGUGAAAUUGAUAUUCUUUACUCCAAUGAAAAUGAUCUAAGCUUCUGGAAAACAAUAUCUCACUAUGUAGAAAGUGUCACAGAAAUGUUCGUGAGUGUUGAUCUAAUAGUCCUGCAACUAGCAAUCUUUCACAAGUAACUAAUAUGAAAGGGAAAACUCAUAUACACAGACAUGUUCCUUUUAGCAUUAUUUAUUUUAAAAAGCCAAAAACUAAAUAUCUGCUUGUAAGAGAAUGUCUAAAUAAAUGUGAUGUCUUUAAUUCUGGAAUAUUAUACAGUCAUUAAAUAUAUGUAGUUUUAUGCUUAUGAUCAAAUAUUUAAAGAAAGGAAAUUAGUGUGUAGGCAUACCAUAAUUAUAACGAUAUGCAAAAUUAGAAUAAAGUUUUAAAGAAAUUGAUUUAGAAAAUAAUCAUUACAAAGGCUUAUCACAAGUAUAUUUCCAUUAGUAGCUGUUAAACUGGGUGUUAAAUGAAGUAAUUUUGUG